UCCAGAGUCAUACUAUCACGUUUUAGGCGUUUUCACACCUGCAGUUCAGUUUGCUUUGGUCCGAAUCAGUUGGUGAGUUUAUAAACUUGGAGCGAUUUGCCCUUACACCUGGAAAAAUCUAAGCGUACCCAAAUGCAUCAUCAC
Molecule: long non-coding RNA, 144 nt
Organism: Etheostoma spectabile (orangethroat darter)
Lineage: Eukaryota; Metazoa; Chordata; Actinopteri; Perciformes; Percidae
Exons: 3
Source: RefSeq, a predicted model, not a curated record